Molecule: ribosomal RNA, 384 nt
Filed under: Triticum aestivum (bread wheat)
Lineage: Eukaryota; Viridiplantae; Streptophyta; Magnoliopsida; Poales; Poaceae
Description: partial small subunit ribosomal RNA
Source: RNAcentral
AUGUUUGCCUUGCAGGGGAAACCCCUUCGAGAAAAUACAAGAUCGUGUAGGUGCAAGUGCCCUGCAAUGAUUAGGCUGUCGAGGACAUCGGACAACGUGUGGUACAUCAUAGAGCAUCGUGUCAAGCAUAAUCAUGUCAUGACGCCAAAUUGUGGUGAAAUGUUGCACUGGCCGUCACACAAGCACAUUGACGUGCACACGAGAGACCUUGUUCGUAACCUAAGGAAGAACAACAUCAACCUGAGCAAGGUGUACAACAUAAUUGGAGGGUUCUUUGGGACAGUGGAGAAUGUGCCCUUUACGAAAAGAUCUCUUCGGAGCCUGUGUGGGCAAAUUAGCAGGGACGAGGCAGAGGACGACGUGAGGAAUACAAGUUUUCGAUGA